GAUGAACGCUGGCGGCGUGCCUAAUACAUGCAAGUCGAGCGAACAGACGAGGAGCUUGCUCCUCUGACGUUAGCGGCGGACGGGUGAGUAACACGUGGAUAACCUACCUAUAAGACUGGGAUAACUUCGGGAAACCGGAGCUAAUACCGGAUAAUAUAUUGAACCGCAUGGUUCAAUAGUGAAAGACGGUUUUGCUGUCACUUAUAGAUGGAUCCGCGCCGCAUUAGCUAGUUGGUAAGGUAACGGCUUACCAAGGCAACGAUGCGUAGCCGACCUGAGAGGGUGAUCGGCAACACUGGAACUGAGACACGGUCCAGACUCCUACGGGAGGAAGCAGUAGGGAAUCUUCCGCAAUGGGCGAAAGCCUGACGGAGCAACGCCGCGUGAGUGAUGAAGGUCUUCGGAUCGUAAAACUCUGUUAUUAGGGAAGAACAAAUGUGUAAGUAACUAUGCACGUCUUGACGGUACCUAAUCAGAAAGCCACGGCUAACUACGUG
Molecule: ribosomal RNA, 497 nt
Filed under: uncultured bacterium
Lineage: Bacteria
Description: partial 16S ribosomal RNA
Rfam family: Bacterial small subunit ribosomal RNA
Source: RNAcentral